CCCUUAGAUGUCCGGGGCUGCACGCGCGCUACACUGAAGGAAUCAGCUUGCUAAAACCAUUGUCGAAAGGCAUUGGUAAACCCAUUAAAAUCCUACGUGAUUGGGAUCGGGAAUUGCAAUUAUUUCCCUUGAACGAGGAAUUCCCAGUAAGUGUGGGUCAUAAGCUCGCGUUGAUUACGUCCCUGCCCUUUGUACACACCGCCCGUCGCUGCCCGGGACUGAGCCGUUUCGAGAAAAGCGGGGACUGCUGCUGUCGGGGCUUUCGGGCCUUGGCUUCGGUGGAAACCGCUUUAAUCGCAGUGGCUUGAACCGGGCAAAAGUCGUAACA
This 328-nucleotide ribosomal RNA is filed under the name uncultured eukaryote. Its description in RNAcentral is "partial 18S ribosomal RNA". It matches the Rfam family "Eukaryotic small subunit ribosomal RNA", at positions 1470 to 1796 of the family's 1831-position model. The record is from RNAcentral.